Molecule: ribosomal RNA, 504 nt
Filed under: uncultured bacterium
Lineage: Bacteria
Description: partial 16S ribosomal RNA
Rfam family: Bacterial small subunit ribosomal RNA
Source: RNAcentral
AUUGAACGCUGGCGGCAUGCCUUACACAUGCAAGUCGAACGGCAGCAUGGAGAGCUUGCUCUCUGAUGGCGAGUGGCGAACGGGUGAGUAAUGCAUCGGAACGUACCGUGUAAUGGGGGAUAACGUAGCGAAAGUUACGCCAAUACCGCAUACGACCUGAGGGUGAAAGCAGGGGAUCGCAAGACCUUGCGUUAUACGAGCGGCCGAUGUCAGAUUAGCUGGUUGGUGAGGUAAAGGCUCACCAAGGCGACGAUCUGUAGCGGGUCUGAGAGGAUGAUCCGCCACACUGGGACUGAGACACGGCCCAGACUCCUACGGGAGGCAGCAGUGGGGAAUUUUGGACAAUGGGGGCAACCCUGAUCCAGCCAUGCCGCGUGAGUGAAGGAGGCCUUCGGGUUGUAAAGCUCUUUCGGCCGGGAAGAAAUCGCACAGGCUAAUACUCUGUGUGGAUGACGGUACCGGCAUAAGAAGCACCGGCUAACUACGUGCCAGCCGCCGCCGUAA